CAGCCGCCGCGGGAAUACGAAGGGUGCAAGCGUUACUCGGAAUUACUGGGCGUAAAGCGUGCGUAGGUGGUGGUUUAAGUCCGUUGUGAAAGCCCUGGGCUCAACCUGGGAAUUGCAGUGGAUACUGGGUCACUAGAGUGUGGUAGAGGAUAGUGGAAUUUCCGGUGUAGCAGUGAAAUGCGUAGAGAUCGGAAGGAACAUCUGUGGCGAAGGCGACUAUCUGGGCCAACACUGACACUGAGGCACGAAAGCGUGGGGAGCAAACAGGAUUAGAGACCCGCGUAGUCCCUGUCUCUUAUAC
RNAcentral lists this ribosomal RNA (301 nucleotides) under uncultured bacterium. RNAcentral describes it as "partial 16S ribosomal RNA". It matches the Rfam family "Bacterial small subunit ribosomal RNA", at positions 509 to 807 of the family's 1533-position model. The record is from RNAcentral.